This 252-nucleotide ribosomal RNA is filed under the name uncultured bacterium. RNAcentral describes it as "partial 16S ribosomal RNA". It matches the Rfam family "Bacterial small subunit ribosomal RNA", at positions 524 to 776 of the family's 1533-position model. The record is from RNAcentral.
UACGUAGGUCCCGAGCGCUGUCCGGAUUUAUUGGGCGUAAAGCGAGCGCAGGUGGUUUAUUAAGUCUGGUGUAAAAGGCAGUGGCUCAACCAUUGUAUGCAUUGGAAACUGGUAGACUUGAGUGCAGGAGAGGAGAGUGGAAUUCCAUGUGUAGCGGUGAAAUGCGUAGAUAUAUGGAGGAACACUGGUGGCGAAAGCGGCUCUCUGGCCUGUAACUGACACUGAGGCUCGAAAGCGUGGGGAGCAAACAGG